Molecule: ribosomal RNA, 207 nt
Filed under: Platichthys flesus (European flounder)
Lineage: Eukaryota; Metazoa; Chordata; Actinopteri; Pleuronectiformes; Pleuronectidae
Description: partial 12S ribosomal RNA
Source: RNAcentral
AAAGGCUUGGUCCUGACUUUACUGUCGACUUUAACUAAACUUACACAUGCAAGUAUCCGCCCCCCUGUGAGAAUGCCCACAACUCCCUGCUUGGGAAUCUAGGAGCCGGUAUCAGGCACAAGCCCAGCUAGCCCACGACGCCUUGCUUAGCCACACCCUCAAGGGACCUCAGCAGUGAUAAAUAUUAAGCCAUAAGUGAAAACUACU